Long non-coding RNA from Rhineura floridana, 599 nucleotides. RefSeq lists it as uncharacterized. The record is from RefSeq and is a predicted model, not a curated record. The transcript has 3 exons. NCBI's taxonomy places the organism in Eukaryota, Metazoa, Chordata, Lepidosauria, Squamata, Rhineuridae.
GAAAGAGACAGAGCCUGGAAAGAAGGAAAGAUCAACUACUGGAAGGCAUGAGAAAAAGGUGGAAGAUUCCAUCUCUUUGUUAUUGGUAUCGGCAGGGAGCAGAAAGUUGGCAGAUGGGAAAAUGUUUCAUGUGUAAUACAUACUAUGUGGGGCUGCCUUCGAGGAUGGCUCAGAAACUACCGUUGUGGCAAAACACUGCAGCUUGACUCCUUACUGUGGCUUGCAGCAUGGUGUACAUAACUGCAAUAGUAUUGUUCUUCGGCUCAGUUCAAGAUGCUGGUGUUUCCCUUUAACAUCUGAAAUAAUCUGUCUGGGGCCUGCAUACCUGAAGGACCAUGUCAUCCAAUAGAUGCCUCCCUACCUCUAACUCAGGUGAGAGUUCUUCACAUAUGACUUUGGUAUUAGGACGACCCGCAAGUCACUUCGAGGUGCUUCCACAAUCUAGCUGUGCUCACUUGUAAAUGGAGUCACUCCUUCUCAAAAGCACCACCCAUAUCAUAGCUCUCCUGGAUUACAGACUUCAGAAAUGAUGUAAUAUCUCUUGUAAUAUCUGAUGCACAACUAAUUUUUCACAGGAGAUUGUUCUGGUAUUUGAAAGU